GAUGAACGCUGACAGAAUGCUUAACACAUGCAAGUCUUUGGCGAAGCUGUGCUUGCACAGCCUAGCCAAGGCGGACGGGUGAGUAACGCGUACGGAACUUGCCCUGCAGUCAGGGAUAACAGACGGAAACGACUGAUAAGACCUGGUAAAGUCAGGCGGACUCAUGUCCAGCCUGAUGAAAAGAGAUGCUGCAGGAGAGCCUUGCGUCCUAUUAGCUUGUUGGUGGGGUAACGGCCCACCAAGGCGAUGAUAGGUAGCCGGCCUGAGAGGGUGGACGGCCACAAGGGGACUGAGAUACGGCCCUUACUCCUACGGGAGGCAGCAGUGGGGAAUAUUGGACAAUGGGGGCAACCCUGAUCCAGCAAUUCUGUGUACACGAUGAAGGUUUUCGGAUUGUAAAGUGCUUUCAGCAGGGAAGAAAAAAAUGACGGUACCUGCAGAAGAAGCGACGGCUAAAUACGUG
RNAcentral lists this ribosomal RNA (463 nucleotides) under uncultured bacterium. RNAcentral's name for it is "partial 16S ribosomal RNA". It matches the Rfam family "Bacterial small subunit ribosomal RNA", at positions 28 to 507 of the family's 1533-position model. The record is from RNAcentral.